AGGAUCAUUAUUGAAUACUCGAUGGGUUGUAGCUGGCUYCUMGGAGCAUGUGCACGCCUGUCUUGACUCUAUUCAUCCACCUGUGCACCUAUUGUAGUCUCAUUUGCUAUGUCUUUAUUCACAAACCAUGUAGUAUGUUGCAGAAUGUAUUCAAUGGGCCAUCRUGCCUAUAAAACCUUAUACAACUUUCAGCAACGGAUCUCUUGGCUCUCGCAUCGAUGAAGAACGCAGCGAAAUGCGAUAAGUAAUGUGAAUUGCAGAAUUCAGUGAAUCAUCGAAUCUUUGAACGCACCUUGCGCUCCUUGGUAUUCCGAGGAGCAUGCCUGUUUGAGAGUCAGUAAAUUCUCAACCCCACCAGCUUUUGUGAGUUGGCACUUGGGGAUUGGAUGUGGAGGUUCUGCCGGCCGGUCGGCUCCUCUGAAAUGUAUUAGCGGAACCGUUUGCGAUCCGUCACAGGUGUGAUAAUUAUCUACGCCAGUGGGUUGCUCUCUGUCUGUUCAGCUUCCAACCGUCCUCCGGGACAAACAUAACUGAACCUUUGACCUCAAAUCA
RNAcentral lists this ribosomal RNA (552 nucleotides) under Cyphomyrmex muelleri fungal symbiont NJM-2012. Its description in RNAcentral is "eukaryotic LSU rRNA". The stretch from base 184 to 337 matches the Rfam family "5.8S ribosomal RNA". The record is from RNAcentral. Lineage: Eukaryota; Fungi; Basidiomycota; Agaricomycetes; Agaricales; Agaricaceae.